CAACCCGUUAUGACCCGUUAUGACCCAUUACGAAAAAUAUUUUUUUUCUUAAAUUUGCACAUACCACACAAUGUCACAUAAAUAUUACUUCAAAACAUUAAAACACAUUUGUCGUUUAAGUACUACAUCUACACUCGAAAAUAAGAGCAUUAUAAAAAAUACAUCCAUACACUACUAAUCUAUUACAAAUAUUAAAUGUGCAAGGAUAUGCAAAAUGAAAGCGUUUUUUUUUCAAGGUUGUGAAGCAUUUCUCAAAAGUUUAAACAUUGCCAAUGGAACUCAAAGCUUAAUGAAAGUGACCCACUAGAGUGUUUAUUCGUACUUUCAUUAAGUAUAACAUAAGAUUUUGUGGUAUCCACUAAUGUAAAUAUUUUAAAUUGAAGAUCGAAUUCAUUCAUUGUAUUCAUAUAGGGUCAAGGAGUGUAGUUGUAAAAAAUCAUCAAAAUCGAAGUUAAAAUAACCGUUAAAUUGUGAUUUUUCGUUUAUAACCGUCGAAAAGUUUUGUCCCGUUACUUAAUCUUUAAAUGUUUGUUUUUUGCAAUUUUUGGCAUAUGCGAUCUCGAAGCAUAUACAAACAAGUAUGAUGGUUAGAUCGUUGAAACUAGUUUCGUAUAAUGCGUAUCUCAUCAAAACAAUAGAUUCACUAACACUUAAGAGUUUAUUCUUACUUUUAUUAAGUAUAACAUAAGAUUUUGUGGUAUCCACUAGUGUAAAUAUUUUAAAUUGAAGAUCGAAUUCAUUCCUUGUAUUCAUAUAGAGUCAAGGAGUGUAGCUGUAAAAAAUCAUCAAAAUUGGAGUUAAAAUAACCGUUAAAUCGUGAUUUUUCGUUUAUAACCGUCGAAAAGUUUUGUCUCGUUACUUGAUCUCUGAAUGUUUAUUUUUUGCAAUUUUUGGCAUAUGCAAUCUCGAAGUAUAUACAAACAUGUUUGACGGUUGGAUUGUUGAAACUAGUUUCGUAGAAUGCGUAUCCCAUCAAAACAAUAGAUUCACUAACACUUAUAAAUUUUAUUCAUACUUUCAUCAAGUAUAACAUAAGAUUUUGUGGUAUCCACUAGUGUUAAUAUUUUAAAUUGAAGAUCGAAUUCAUUCAUUGUAUUUUAUAUAGGGUCAAGGAGUGUAGCUGGUAAAAAAAUCAUCAAAAUCGGAGUUAAAAUAACCGUUAAAUCGUGAUUUUUUCGUUUAUAACCGUCGAAAAGUUUUGUCCCGUUACUUGAUCUAUGAAUGUUUAUUUUUUGCAAUUUUUUAGCGUAUGCGAUCUCGAAGUAUAUACAAACAUGUUUGACGGUUGGAUCGUUGAAACUAGUUUCGUAGAAUGUGUAUCCCAUCAAAACAAUAGAUUCACUAACACUUAAGAGUUUAUUUAUACUUUCAUCAAGUAUAACAUAAGAUUUUGUGAUAUCCACUAGUGUAAAUAUUUUAAAUUGAAGAUCGAAUUCAUUCAUUGUAUUCAUAUAAGGUCAAGGAGUGUAGAUGUAAAAAAUCAUCAAAAUCAGAGUUAAAAUAACCGUUAAAUCGUGAUUUUUUGUUUAUAACCGUUUGAAAAGUUUUUGUCCUGUUACUUGAUCUCUGAAUGUUUAUUUUUUGCAAUUUUUGGCGUAUGCGAUCUCGAAGUAUAUACAAACAUGUUUGACAGUUGGAUCGUUGAAACUAGUUUCGUAGAAUGCGUAUCCCAUCAAAACAAUAGAUUCACUAACACUUAAGAGUUUAUUUAUACUUUCAUCAAGUAUAACAUAAGAUUUUGUGAUAUCCACUAGUGUAAAUAUUUUAAAUUGAAGAUCGAAUUCAUUCAUUGUAUUCAUAUAGGGUCAAGGAGUGUAGAUGUAAAAAAUCAUUAAAAUCGGAGUUAAAAUAACCGUUAAAUCGUGAUUUUUCGUUUAUAACCGUCGAAAAGUUUUGUCCCGUUACUUGAUCUCUGAAUGUUUUUUUUUUUUGCAAUUUUUGGUGUAUGCGAUCUAGAAGCAUAUACAAACAAGUUUGAUGGUUGGAUCGUUGAAACUAGUUUCGCAAAAUUCGUAUCUCAUCAAAACAAUAAAUUCACUAACACUUAAGAGUUUAUUCAUAUUUUCAUUAAGUAUAACGUAAUAUUUUGUGGUAUCCACUAGUGUAAAUAUUUUAAAUUGAAGAUCGAAUUCAUUCAUUGUAUUCAUAUAAGGUCAAGGAGUGUAGCUGUAAAAAAUUAUCAAAAUUAGAGUUAAAAUAACCGUUAAAUUGUGAUUUUUCGUUUAUAACCGUCGAAAAGUUUUGUCCCGUUACUUAAUCUUUAAAUGUUUGUUUUUUGCAAUUUUUGGCAUAUGCGAUCUCGAAGCAUAUACAAACAAGUAUGAUGGUUAGAUCGUUGAAACUAGUUUCGUAUAAUGCGUAUCUCAUCAAAACAAUAGAUUCACUAACACUUAAGAGUUUAUUCUUACUUUUAUUAAGUAUAACAUAAGAUUUUGUGGUAUCCACUAGUGUAAAUAUUUUAAAUUGAAGAUCGAAUUCAUUCCUUGUAUUCAUAUAGAGUCAAGGAGUGUAGCUGUAAAAAAUCAUCAAAAUUGGAGUUAAAAUAACCGUUAAAUCGUGAUUUUUCGUUUAUAACCGUCGAAAAGUUUUGUCUCGUUACUUGAUCUCUGAAUGUUUAUUUUUUGCAAUUUUUGGCAUAUGCAAUCUCGAAGUAUAUACAAACAUGUUUGACGGUUGGAUUGUUGAAACUAGUUUCGUAGAAUGCGUAUCCCAUCAAAACAAUAGAUUCACUAACACUUAUAAAUUUUAUUCAUACUUUCAUCAAGUAUAACAUAAGAUUUUGUGGUAUCCACUAGUGUUAAUAUUUUAAAUUGAAGAUCGAAUUCAUUCAUUGUAUUUAUAUAGGGUCAAGGAGUGUAGCUGUAAAAAAUCAUCAAAAUCGGAGUUAAAAUAACCGUUAAAUCGUGAUUUUUCGUUUAUAACCGUCGAAAAGUUUUGUCCCGUUACUUGAUCUAUGAAUGUUUAUUUUUUGCAAUUUUUAGCGUAUGCGAUCUCGAAGUAUAUACAAACAUGUUUGACGGUUGGAUCGUUGAAACUAGUUUCGUAGAAUGUGUAUCCCAUCAAAACAAUAGAUUCACUAACACUUAAGAGUUUAUUUAUACUUUCAUCAAGUAUAACAUAAGAUUUUGUGAUAUCCACUAGUGUAAAUAUUUUAAAUUGAAGAUCGAAUUCAUUCAUUGUAUUCAUAUAAGGUCAAGGAGUGUAGAUGUAAAAAAUCAUCAAAAUCAGAGUUAAAAUAACCGUUAAAUCGUGAUUUUUUGUUUAUAACCGUUGAAAAGUUUUGUCCUGUUACUUGAUCUCUGAAUGUUUAUUUUUUGCAAUUUUUGGCGUAUGCGAUCUCGAAGUAUAUACAAACAUGUUUGACAGUUGGAUCGUUGAAACUAGUUUCGUAGAAUGCGUAUCCCAUCAAAACAAUAGAUUCACUAACACUUAAGAGUUUAUUUAUACUUUCAUCAAGUAUAACAUAAGAUUUUGUGAUAUCCACUAGUGUAAAUAUUUUAAAUUGAAGAUCGAAUUCAUUCAUUGUAUUCAUAUAGGGUCAAGGAGUGUAGAUGUAAAAAAUCAUUAAAAUCGGAGUUAAAAUAACCGUUAAAUCGUGAUUUUUCGUUUAUAACCGUCGAAAAGUUUUGUCCCGUUACUUGAUCUCUGAAUGUUUUUUUUUUUUGCAAUUUUUGGUGUAUGCGAUCUAGAAGCAUAUACAAACAAGUUUGAUGGUUGGAUCGUUGAAACUAGUUUCGCAAAAUUCGUAUCUCAUCAAAACAAUAAAUUCACUAACACUUAAGAGUUUAUUCAUAUUUUCAUUAAGUAUAACGUAAUAUUUUGUGGUAUCCACUAGUGUAAAUAUUUUAAAUUGAAGAUCGAAUUCAUUCAUUGUAUUCAUAUAAGGUCAAGGAGUGUAGCUGUAAAAAAUUAUCAAAAUUAGAGUUAAAAUAACCGUUAAAUCAUGAUUUUUCGUUUAUAACCGUCGAAAUGUUUUGUCUCGUUACUUGAUCUGUGAAUUUUUGUUUUUUGUAAUUUUUUGAUGAUGCGAUCUCGAAGCAUAUACAAACAAGUUUGACGGUUGGAUCGUUGAAAUUAGUUUCGUAUAAUUCGUAUCCCAUGAAGUUCAAUGGUGUGUGUUUGUGUGUGUGUGUGUGUGUAUAUAUAUAUAUUUAUUUAUUAAGUAGAUUUAAAUCUAUUUAUUUUGUAUGUAUAAUUAU
This 4199-nucleotide long non-coding RNA is filed under the name Malus domestica (apple). Its description in RNAcentral is "long non-coding RNA (MDOM_LNC008058)". Lineage: Eukaryota; Viridiplantae; Streptophyta; Magnoliopsida; Rosales; Rosaceae. The record is from RNAcentral.